RNAcentral lists this ribosomal RNA (334 nucleotides) under uncultured eukaryote. Its description in RNAcentral is "partial 18S ribosomal RNA". It matches the Rfam family "Eukaryotic small subunit ribosomal RNA", at positions 1470 to 1796 of the family's 1831-position model. The record is from RNAcentral.
CCCUUAGAUGUCCGGGGCCGCACGCGCGCUACACUGAAGGAAUCAGCGUGGCUUUCUCCCUGACCCGAAAGGGUUGGGAAACCCGUUGAAUCUCCUUCGUGAUAGGGAUUGGGGCUUGAAAUUGUUCCCCAUGAACGAGGAAUUCCCAGUAAGCGCGAGUCAUAAGCUCGCGUUGAUUAAGUCCCUGCCCUUUGUACACACCGCCCGUCGCUACUACCGAUUGAACGGUUUAGUGAGGGCCUCGGAUUGGUCUCGGCCCGCUCUUUACCGGGCGGCGCCGUUGGUCGAGAAGACGCUCGAACUUGAUCGUUUAGAGGAAGUAAAAGUCGUAACA